Molecule: long non-coding RNA, 1148 nt
Organism: Anguilla anguilla (European eel)
Lineage: Eukaryota; Metazoa; Chordata; Actinopteri; Anguilliformes; Anguillidae
Exons: 2
Source: RefSeq, a predicted model, not a curated record
CAAGGUCCUUAAUUCAGGAAGGCGAAUAUGCAACCAGACAGGCGUUUGGUGGUUAUAAUAAUAUGUCUAUGUUAGAAAUGUACAGGAAGGACGGUAGUGUAUACGAUGAGAACGAUUUAUAAUGUACUCAAUAGAAGAUCAACAAGAGAAUAUCUACCUGUGUGGCUGAUACCUGAACAUGGAUGACCAGGCAUCACCUUAAGCUCAGCCUCAACAAGACCGAGCUGCUGCUCAUCCCGUACAAGACCCCCCUGCCAUGGGAGCCCUCAAUCACUGUCGAUGGCACCACAGUGACUGCCUCUCGCUCUGCAGAGAGCCUGGGGGGUGGUCCUGGAUGCCCAACCGGACCUCAAGGAGCACAUCACCUACACUGCAGCCAACAGGACAGCCCCCCCCCCCUUUACGUACGGGACAUGAUUCAAUCCCGCACGCCGGCUCGACCACUCCGCUCUGCUGCAGCAGGGCGGCUCACUCUCUCCCUGCCUUCCGGGUGAAUGGUUCUCGCACGUCCCCCACUACGGAGCUUCUCCCCCUAGCUCCCCAGCGGUGGAACAAACUCCCUGUCCCUCUGAGAACCACUCCGUCGUUGCUCAUCUUUCACUGUGGUCCGAAGACGCAUCUCAUCAGACUGUACCUGGACUAACUAUCACUGCUGUGCAGGGCACUCCCAAUCUAGAAUCACAUUUGUCACUUGUAUCCUUCUAUAUUGUUCUUGUAGGACUUUUGUGUUACACUUGUACCUUCAUCCAGCACUUAUGUUGCACUUGUAUGGUUAUCUCGAUGUUAUAGCUUGUUGACGUGCCUCCUAGUUUGACUUACCAAAACUUUCUGACCUAGACGACGCUUACUGCUUGAACUGGACUUAAUGUGUUCAUGGCUAUGAAUAACUUACCAAAUGAGCAUUGUAACUUAUCGGACAUGUGUUUUGUAAUUGUUCCAAUUGUCUUCAGUAUUCAGUUAUGGUAUGUUGCUUUUGAUAAGUGUCUGACAAAUGGAGGUAAUGUAAAGGAAUGUACUUUACAAUUUUCCCAUGAAUGAUAUUUUUCAUCAUGAAUUUCAUGAAAUUAAUUUCUACUCAUUUAUUUCACCAUGGUAGAUACAUAAAUAAUAUUUCCUAUCCACCUAUAUCAUUAAAUUGUAUUUUGAAA